UGAGGUCGUGGGAGUGAAAUCAAGUCAUUACAUAAUUUGGGUAUUACACUAGUGUAAUAAAGCUUCGACGUUGACGUUGUUUCAAAAAGUUGAUGUUUCAGUAGGAAAAGCUAGCAAGUGAUAAAAAGAAUAUUACAUACUAGUUGAAAAGAAUUUAUAACAUACUCGGUAGAGCUCCGCAUUUCAGUAUUCUAUUCAACUAGUUUAAUAAAUUUUAUACGAAAAUACACUCAUGUUAUAUCCUGUAUUAAUGCGUUUUUGUUCUUUCUUAGGAAUAUCGUAAGACAUUAUGAAACAUGGCCGAUAGCCACACGGUGGAGGAUGGCGCCCUUCCAGCACCGGAUUUGCCGUCAGUGUCAUCUGUUGAUGGAACAAGUGGAACCUCCUUUCUAUCGUUACAGAACCAAAACACAAGCACAUCAAUAACAAUAAGACGUCCACACAUAGAGCGCAUGUCCAGAAACAUAUACAUGGUAGCACCAAGAGAUGAUGAUGAUAAUGUAAUAAGCCUACAUCCAGAGCACACGCAAAAUGCCCAAGGGAACUACUAGGACAAACUAUAUUCUAAUGCAUGAAAUCCAAGACAACACGCAAAAUUACCACAGACGGAAAACUAGAUUAGAGGCGUCUAUUAGAAGAUUAAGGACAUUUCUUAAUUGGCGUAUACCUUUCCUAGAUCCAGAAGUUCUUGCAGAAGUAAACUUCUGCUACACAGGAAACAUAGAAUGCAACUAUGAAAAUAAUAGCAGACCCGACUGAUGAGAAGAGAUAAAAUGUGCAACACUCCCACAUCCCACCUGCUGAAGAGGAAUGUAAAAGAACACUGAAGUCGUGUUUAAACUAGUUUUUAGUUAUUAAUUUGCAAAACAUUUGACUGUAUACAAGUGCUUUUAAAAUAUUAACGAAUGUGGAGGAGAAUUGUCCAACUGUCAGCCGGGAAAUGAUCCCAGACAAGAACAUUUAAAUGCGUUUGGAUUCUUGUGUGAUUAAAAAUAACAUGUUAUACUCUGCUAUUGAACUUUGGAACAUUUGUGGGGGUUGUUUUGUACUGACUGGCCAAGUGCCAAACACUACAACAUCUAUUUUAUCCGAAGGCACUAAUUCUUACUUACACAUACUUGUAAUAAAUAAGAUGAAAUCAAACAGGAACAUACAAAACUUUUAUGUAAUUCUUGUACUUGUAAAACGUCAUUGGUUGACAUAGAAUAUAUAUUAAUACACAACCCACGUUUUAGAUCGGUGUUUAAACGUCACGUAUAUGCUCUGAAAGUUUCGCAUCUGAAUCAUGAAAAUUAUAUAUAUAAUAUUGAACUUGAACAACUAGUUUCUUGUGUCCGUUUAAUUGACUGUGAUAAGAGCUACACAAACAACACCCUGACUUUUAUUAAAUGUUCCUAUUUAAAUAAGUAGUAUUUUCGUAGUUCAUUUUGACCAAGUCGUUACAAUACAUCCAACCUAUACUAAUGUAUAUUCAUAUAUUCAUCCUUGUUGGUUGUUUUUUUGUUUGUUUGUAAAAACGGUCUUGUAGAAAUGCUUGAACAGCAUUUUCUUUUGUAUUUAUACUAAUAAAACUUAGGAAGCUGUUGUAUCUCUUUGAUAUGUAAUCUUUAAGAUAUUUGUUAAUGUAUAUUCUUAAUCAUGUUUUGUUUUAAACUUAUUUGUAUUUGUUCAGCCUUUCAACUGAUGAGAAAUCAAAAUGAAAAGAUGUGUCAUAAAUCUUUGAACUGUGAAUAAUAACUUGAUCCUACUUGAUAUGUUGCUGUAAUUCAAGUUAUAUUUUGUAUUUAUUCUGGGUACGUUAUACUAAAAUUACUUUGCAAUGUGAAAAUACUACCGUGACGGCGCAAUAUGUCACUCCUUGCCCAAGAAUUUACAUAAAAAGUAACACUACACUUUUGUUCACUAAAUUGAUUGUAGACAUUUUCUCACAUUGUAUUAUUGUUAUCUCUCUGCACAUUAUCUUUAUUUUACU
Molecule: long non-coding RNA, 1972 nt
Organism: Mercenaria mercenaria
Lineage: Eukaryota; Metazoa; Mollusca; Bivalvia; Venerida; Veneridae
Exons: 3
Source: RefSeq, a predicted model, not a curated record